AAAGAAGCUAAACUUCACUGUUUUGAAGUUGAAACGUAGCUAAAACCAGAUACAAAUUGACAUGGCUGGUGGUCACUAAAAUUGAUGUAUAAAAGUAAAAAAUGAUGGCUUCAAAAAAGUGUAUAAAUUUGAAAUAGGUUUCCCGGUUUCAUUUAAGAUUAUAACCGUUCUUUUCUGUAUUUGGAUACGCAAACGUCAAAUUAGGAAAAAUCGAUUUUUUUGGCGAACAAAAAAGAUGGCUAUUUUUUUUUAGAACAGACAGGAAAAAGGAAUAGCAAUAACAAGCUAUUUUUUGUAAUGUUUGUAUGUCGUAAAUAAAUUAUAUUGGUCACAAAACCUACAAAUUUUAAAAUUUAAUUAUAAUAAAAGCAUGACAAGUUGCAAAAAAUACUCUAAACGUCAAUCUUUUAGCCGAUAGAUUUGGCGGACUUUUUGACGUUACGGACGACUGUAGCGCCACCUAAUUAAUUCCCCCUGCUAUUGUUGCUGAUAGAGCUUGACGACAACGGCCGUAUCGAAGGACUUGCUUUCCAACUGUAU
This 540-nucleotide long non-coding RNA is filed under the name Mytilus galloprovincialis (Mediterranean mussel). Lineage: Eukaryota; Metazoa; Mollusca; Bivalvia; Mytilida; Mytilidae. The record is from RNAcentral.